RNAcentral lists this ribosomal RNA (497 nucleotides) under uncultured bacterium. Its description in RNAcentral is "partial 16S ribosomal RNA". It matches the Rfam family "Bacterial small subunit ribosomal RNA", at positions 28 to 507 of the family's 1533-position model. The record is from RNAcentral.
GAUGAACGCUGGCGGCGUGCCUAAUACAUGCAAGUCGAGCGGACGGACGAUAAGCUUGCUUCUCUGAUGUUAGCGGCUGACGGGUGAGUAACGCGUGGAUAACCUACCUAUAUUACUGGGAUAACUUCGGGAAACCGUAUCUAAUACCGGAUAAUAUUUUGAACCGCAUGGUUCAAGGGUGAAAGACGGUCUUGCUGGCUCUUAUAGAUGGAUCCGCGCUGCAUUAGCUAGUGGGUAAGGUAACAGCUUACCAAGGCAACGAUGCAUAGCCGACCUGAGAGGGUGAUCGGCCACACUGGAACUGAGACACGGUCCAGACUCCUACGGGAGGCAGCAGUAGGGAAUAUUCCGCAAUGGGCGAAAGCCUGACGCAGCAACGCCGCGUGAGUGAUGAAGGUCUUCGGAUCGUAAAGCCCUGUUAUUAGGGAAGAACAGAUGUGUAAGUAAAUGUGGACAUCUUGACGGUACCUAAUCAGAAAGCAACGGCUAACUACGUG